UACGAGAGGCCCAAACGUUAUUCGGAUUUACUGGGCUUAAAGAGUUCGUAGGCGGCGCGGAAAGUAGGGUGUGAAAGCCCUCGGCUCAACCGAGGAAUUGCGUUCUAAACUACCGUGCUUGAGGAACCUAGAGGUGAGCAGAACUGAUGGUGGAGCGGUGAAAUGCGUUGAUAUCAUCAGGAAUACCGGAGGCGAAGGCGGCUCACUGGGGGUUAUCUGACGCUGAGGAACGAAAGCCAGGGGAGCAAACGGG
This 253-nucleotide ribosomal RNA is filed under the name uncultured bacterium. RNAcentral's name for it is "partial 16S ribosomal RNA". It matches the Rfam family "Bacterial small subunit ribosomal RNA", at positions 524 to 776 of the family's 1533-position model. The record is from RNAcentral.